GUCCUUUUGAUUUUAAUUUAAGGUCUGACCUGCCCACUGAAGUUUUGAAUGGCCGCGGUAUUUUGACCGUGCAAAGGUAGCAUAAUCAAUAGUUUUUUAAUUAAAAGCUGGUAUGAAUGGUUAGAUAAGAAAAUGGCUGUCUCAAUUUAAUUUUAUUAGAAUUUUAUUUUUAAGUUAAAAAGCUUAAAUAUUUUUAAAAGACGAGAAGACCCUAUAGAGUUUAAUAUUAAUUUUUAGAUUAAUAAUUAGGAUUUAUAUUUAAUUUAUAAAUUUAAUAUUUGGUUGGGGUGACAGAAAAAUUAAAUGAACUUUUUUUAUAUUAUUACAUUAAUUUAUGAAUUUAUGAUCUUUUUUUAAUGAUUAAAAGAUUAAAUUACCUUAGGGAUAACAGCGUAAUUUUUUUUAAGAGUUCUAAUCGAAAAAAGAGAUUGCGACCUCGAUGUUGGAUUAAAGUUAAUAUUUGGUGUAGAUGUUAAAAUAUUAGGUCUGUUCGACCUUUAAAACUUUACA
Molecule: ribosomal RNA, 510 nt
Filed under: Deretaphrus oregonensis
Lineage: Eukaryota; Metazoa; Arthropoda; Insecta; Coleoptera; Bothrideridae
Description: partial 16S ribosomal RNA
Rfam family: Bacterial large subunit ribosomal RNA (bases 384-510)
Source: RNAcentral